UACGUAGGGGGCGAGCGUUGUCCGGAUUUAUUGGGCGUAAAGAGCGUGUAGGCGGCCAGGUAGGUCCGUUGUGAAAACUCGAGGCUCAACCUCGAGACGUCGGCGGAAACCCUCUGGCUAGAGUCCGGAAGAGGAGAGUGGAAUUCCUGGUGUAGCGGUGAAAUGCGUAGAUAUCUGGAGGAACACCGGUGGCGAAGGCGGCAUCCUGGACCGGCAUUGACGCUGAGGCGCGAAAGCCAGGGGAGCAAACGGG
RNAcentral lists this ribosomal RNA (253 nucleotides) under uncultured bacterium. Its description in RNAcentral is "partial 16S ribosomal RNA". It matches the Rfam family "Bacterial small subunit ribosomal RNA", at positions 524 to 776 of the family's 1533-position model. The record is from RNAcentral.